CACGCCCUAAACGAUGACGACUAGUUGUUGGGGGAGUUAAAUCCCUUAGUAACGCAGCUAACGCGUGAAGUCGUCCGCCUGGGGAGUACGGUCGCAAGAUUAAAACUCAAAGGAAUUGACGGGGGCCCGCACAAGCGGUGGAUGAUGUGGUUUAAUUCGAUGCAACGCGAAAAACCUUACCUACCCUUGACAUGUCAGGAAUCCUCCAGAAACGGAGGAGUGCCCGAAAGGGAGCCUGAACACAGGUGCUGCAUGGCUGUCGUCAGCUCGUCUCGAGAGAUGUUGGGGUCACGUCCACCAACCAGCAACUCCUCUCACAUGAUGU
RNAcentral lists this ribosomal RNA (325 nucleotides) under uncultured bacterium. RNAcentral's name for it is "bacterial SSU rRNA". It matches the Rfam family "Bacterial small subunit ribosomal RNA", at positions 796 to 1118 of the family's 1533-position model. The record is from RNAcentral.